UGUAAACUUAGACAUCCAAAUACAACUGAUGUCCGCCAGGGUACUACGAGCAUUAGCUUAAAACCCAAAGGACCUGACGGUGUCUCAGACCCCCCUAGAGGAGCCUGUUCUAGAACCGAUAACCCCCGUUAAACCUCACCACUCCUUGCCACCCCAGCCUAUAUACCGCCGUCGUCAGCUUACCCUGUGAAGGCAAUAAAAGUAAGCAAAAUGGGCACAACCCAGAACGUCAGGUCGAGGUGUAGCGCAUGAAGUGGAAAGAAAUGGGCUACAUUUUCUAAUGCAGAAUAUUACGAACAUGCACUAUGAAAUAAUGCUUGAAGGAGGAUUUAGUAGUAAAAGGGAAAUAGAGUGUCCCUUUGAACCCGGCUCUGAGACGCGUACACACCGCCCGUCACCCUCUGGCAGUCAA
RNAcentral lists this ribosomal RNA (412 nucleotides) under Bangana ariza (reba). RNAcentral describes it as "partial 12S ribosomal RNA". It matches the Rfam family "Bacterial small subunit ribosomal RNA", at positions 801 to 1414 of the family's 1533-position model. Lineage: Eukaryota; Metazoa; Chordata; Actinopteri; Cypriniformes; Cyprinidae. The record is from RNAcentral.